This is a long non-coding RNA of Engraulis encrasicolus (European anchovy), 340 nucleotides long. RefSeq lists it as uncharacterized. The record is from RefSeq and is a predicted model, not a curated record. The transcript is spliced from 4 exons. NCBI's taxonomy places the organism in Eukaryota, Metazoa, Chordata, Actinopteri, Clupeiformes, Engraulidae.
CCUACUCGAUGUGUAUGAAGCAAGCUGCCUCUGCAUCAAGUGAGAGAAGAAGCCGCCACUGAAAAGCUUUUUGGACUGUCAUUUGAAGGACACAAAUGAAAGGACAGGAAUUCUGCUCUGCGGCGUUGGCCUCACUAUUUAUUCAAGAAGCCCUCGGACACCACCAGAAUGUAUGAAGACUCAAAUGAAAGGACAGGACUUCUACUCUGCUGGGUCGGCCUCACUACAUAUUCAAGAAGCCCUCGGACGUCAUCAGAAUGUAUUAAUGUGAAGAGGCAACAAGGGAGAGAUGAACGCUAUCAACAAUGUGGAGAUAGAUCUGGCAGCCGACCGCUUUGGC